This 484-nucleotide ribosomal RNA is filed under the name uncultured bacterium. RNAcentral's name for it is "partial 16S ribosomal RNA". It matches the Rfam family "Bacterial small subunit ribosomal RNA", at positions 30 to 507 of the family's 1533-position model. The record is from RNAcentral.
AUUGAACGCUAGCGGGAUGCUUUACACAUGCAAGUCGAACGGCAGCGCGGACUUCGGUCUGGCGGCGAGUGGCGAACGGGUGAGUAAUGUAUCGGAACGUGCCCAGUAGCGGGGGAUAACUACGCGAAAGCGUAGCUAAUACCGCAUACGCCCUACGGGGGAAAGCAGGGGAUCGUAAGACCUUGCACUAUUGGAGCGGCCGAUAUCGGAUUAGCUAGUUGGUGAGGUAACGGCUAACCAAGGCGACGAUCCGUAGCUGGUUUGAGAGGACGACCAGCCACACUGGGACUGAGACACGGCCCAGACUCCUACGGGAGGCAGCAGUGGGGAAUUUUGGACAAUGGGGGCAACCCUGAUCCAGCCAUCCCGCGUGUGCGAUGAAGGCCUUCGGGUUGUAAAGCACUUUUGGCAGGAAAGAAACGUCGCGGGCUAAUACCCCGUGGAACUGACGGUACCUGCAGAAUAAGCACCGGCUAACUACGUG